RNAcentral lists this ribosomal RNA (403 nucleotides) under uncultured bacterium. Its description in RNAcentral is "partial 16S ribosomal RNA". It matches the Rfam family "Bacterial small subunit ribosomal RNA", at positions 30 to 526 of the family's 1533-position model. The record is from RNAcentral.
AUUGAACGCUAGCGGCAGGCCUAACACAUGCAAGUCGCCCGAGCGGCGGACGGGUGAGUAAUGUAUGUGGACUGCCCGCUAGAUGGGGAUAACUACUGGGAACGGUCGCUAAUACCGCAUACGAUCGGAUAACCCAUAUGGGAUUAGCUAGUAGGUGAGGUACUGGCUCACCUAGUCGACGGACCCUAGCUGGUCUGUGAGGAUGAGCAGCCACACCGAGACUGAGACGGGGAAAAGACACCUACGGAGGCAGUGGUGUGGAAUAUUGCAAAAAGGGCGCGAGUCUGAUGCAGCCAUGCAGCGUGUAUGAAGAAGGCCCUGGGGUUGUAAAGUACUUUCAGUCGGGAGGCGGUACCGACAGAAGAAGCACCGGCUAACUCCGUGCCAGCAGCCGCGGUAAUUC